RNAcentral lists this ribosomal RNA (253 nucleotides) under uncultured bacterium. RNAcentral describes it as "partial 16S ribosomal RNA". It matches the Rfam family "Archaeal small subunit ribosomal RNA", at positions 474 to 727 of the family's 1478-position model. The record is from RNAcentral.
UACCCGCAGCUCAAGUGGUGGUCAUUAUUAUUGUGCCUAAAGCGUCCGUAGCAGGCUUGUUAGAUGCCUGGGUAAAUCGAUGCGCUUAACGCAUCGAAUUCCGGGUAGACCGGCAAGCUCGAGACCGGGAGAGGUGUAGGCUACUCGAGGGGUAGGGGUAAAAUCCUGUAAUCCUUCGGGGAGGACCAGUGGCGAAGGCGCUACACUAGAACGGCUCUGACUGUGAGGGACGAAGCCCUGGGGCGCAAACCGG